Molecule: ribosomal RNA, 468 nt
Filed under: uncultured bacterium
Lineage: Bacteria
Description: partial 16S ribosomal RNA
Rfam family: Bacterial small subunit ribosomal RNA
Source: RNAcentral
GACGAACGCUGGCGGCGUGCUUAACACAUGCAAGUCGAACGGUGAAGCUCCAGCUUGCUGGAGUGGAUCAGUGGCGAACGGGUGAGUAACACGUGAGCAACCUGCCCCUGACUCUGGAAUAAGCGCUGGAAACGGCGUCUAAUACUGGAUACGAGAAGGGUCCGCAUGGGCACUUUCUGGAAAGUUUUUCGGUUGGGGAUGGGCUCGCGGCCUAUCAGCUUGUUGGUGAGGUAAUGGCUCACCAAGGCGACGACGGGUAGCCGGCCUGAGAGGGCGACCGGCCACACUGGGACUGAGACACGGCCCAGACUCCUACGGGAGGCAGCAGUGGGGAAUAUUGCACAAUGGGCGAAAGCCUGAUGCAGCGACGCCGCGCGAGGGAUGACGGCCUUCGGGUUGUAAACCUCUUUCAGCAGGGAAGAAGCAAAAGUGACGGUACCUGCAGAAGAAGCACCGGCUAGCUACGUG